This 253-nucleotide ribosomal RNA is filed under the name uncultured bacterium. RNAcentral describes it as "partial 16S ribosomal RNA". It matches the Rfam family "Bacterial small subunit ribosomal RNA", at positions 524 to 776 of the family's 1533-position model. The record is from RNAcentral.
UACGAAGGGGGCUAGCGUUGUUCGGAAUUACUGGGCGUAAAGCGCGCGCAGGCGGCUAUCCAAGUCAGUGGUGAAAGCCCGGAGCUCAACUCCGGAACUGCCAUUGAAACUGUUUAGCUUGAGGACGAGAGGGGUGAGUGGAAUUCCCAGUGUAGAGGUGAAAUUCGUAGAUAUUGGGAAGAACACCGGUGGCGAAGGCGGCUCACUGGCUCGUAUCUGACGCUCAGGCGCGACAGCGUGGGGAUCAAACAGG